RNAcentral lists this ribosomal RNA (253 nucleotides) under uncultured bacterium. Its description in RNAcentral is "partial 16S ribosomal RNA". It matches the Rfam family "Bacterial small subunit ribosomal RNA", at positions 524 to 776 of the family's 1533-position model. The record is from RNAcentral.
UACGGGGGGGGCAAGCGUUGUUCGGAAUUACUGGGCGUAAAGGGCUCGUAGGCGGCCAACUAAGUCAGACGUGAAAUCCCUCGGCUUAACUGGGGAACUGCGUCUGAUACUGGCGGGCUUGAGGACAGGAGAGGAACGCGGAAUUCCAGGUGUAGCGGUGAAAUGCGUAGAUAUCUGGAGGAACACCAAUGGCGAAGGCAGCUCGCUGGGACGUUACUGACGCUGAGACGCGAAAGCGUGGGGAGCAAACAGG